GAUUGCAGGCUGCAACUCGCCUGCAUGAAGUCGGAAUUGCUAGUAAUCGCGGAUCAGCAUGCCGCGGUGAAUACGUUCCCGGGCCUUGUACACACCGCCCGUCACACCAUGAGAGCCGGUAACACCCGAAGUCAGUAGUCUAACCGCAAGGGGGGACGCUGCCGAAGGUGGGGCUGGUGAUUGGGGUGAAGUCGUAACAAGGUAAC
RNAcentral lists this ribosomal RNA (206 nucleotides) under uncultured bacterium. RNAcentral describes it as "partial 16S ribosomal RNA". It matches the Rfam family "Bacterial small subunit ribosomal RNA", at positions 1296 to 1500 of the family's 1533-position model. The record is from RNAcentral.